GUAUGGAUGACUGAAAAGGAACAAGAGGGAACUUUAUGAGAAUCAGUUCAAUAGCAACAAAUGGUCUACUUACUCCAGCUCCCAGCUUCCUUUGGCAUUCCCAGCAUUGCCCUGAGAAGGUCCUCCUCCAAGAAAAGAGCACCAGCUGCCUAAGUUUAAGCAAUGGCCAUAACCCCCUCCUCUGUACCCUAAGUUUUAUUAAGUCCACCUCUUCCCUCCAGCUCCAACAGACCCAGGAGGUCAGCUGCUUCCUGCAGACACUAAUCCAACACGUUGCAGAAGGAGAGAACAUUUUUCCUCACAGAAGACUGUCACUGCACAGUGAUGGUUGUCAGAAACGAGCUAAGACUCAG
Molecule: long non-coding RNA, 353 nt
Filed under: Equus caballus (horse)
Lineage: Eukaryota; Metazoa; Chordata; Mammalia; Perissodactyla; Equidae
Description: lncRNA (ENSECAG00000055828.1)
Source: RNAcentral